Molecule: long non-coding RNA, 2166 nt
Organism: Callithrix jacchus (white-tufted-ear marmoset)
Lineage: Eukaryota; Metazoa; Chordata; Mammalia; Primates; Cebidae
Source: Ensembl
AAAAAAAAGGAUUUUUGAAUUUUUUAUUGGCAGGUGGAAGAGAUAGGAAGACUGGUUAUGUCCCUGGGAAGGUCAGGUACAGAGGAAGAUUCCUGGAGAGAGGAGAGGAGCCCUGCAACAUGGCAGGAGGCUAAGGUCUGAGGAGGAAGAGAGCUGGUGAGAAUUUCCAAGGGGAAAGCAUUGUCUUAGAACCUGACUCACCUGAUUUUGCUAAUGAGUCAACUUCAAAGUGUGCCUCAUUCCGGAAAGUGAAUCAUGUAAUCACAGUAAGUUAUGCGUAUAACAGGCAUAGAUGGUUCCUUCGUGCUAUAUUUAAGCCAGUGUUGUACCGCCUUUUCUGUCUGUAAUUCCUCACAUUUGUCAGAUUAGGUCAGUAUAAAGGGCUGUACUUUUUUUUGACAAGGACAUAGUUUCCAUGUUAGCUUCUUUUGCCCUUAACUGCUAUUUUGAAGAUAAAGUUUAAUUUUCCAGGCUUUAGAUUGAAGAAAAACUCAAUUUGCAGUUAGCUUUAAGUGGCUACGAUGUUAUGACAUACUUCUAUUGAGAAAUAUAAAGAUAAUACCUGUGACUGACAUUAGUAUUUUCAUGGCUUUGUGUGCAGGUUACAUGUGUGUUAUACAAUGUCUGUAAUGCCACUAGACCAGGCUCCAUUUAUUCUGCUUUUAUUUGUGUUAGUCUGUUUUGUCUUGCUAUCCAGGAAGACCUGAGGGUCAUUUAAAAAGAAAAGAGGCUUGUUUGGCUCACAGUUCUGCAGGCUAUAUAAGCAUGGCACCAGCAUCUGCUUGGCUUCUGGGGAGGCCCCUGGAAGCUUCCAAUCAUGGUGGAAGGUGAAGGGAAGGCAGGUAAGUCACAUGUUGGGAAAAGAAGCAAGGAGGGGAAGGAGGCACUAGACUCUUUUAAACAACCAGCUCUCACAUGAACUAAUAGAGCAGGAACUCAGUUCCACAGGGAAUUCAUGAGGGCUCCACCCUCCUGACCAAAAAGCUUCCCACCAGGCCCCGCCUCCAACACUGGGGGUCACAUUUCAAUGAAAUUUUGAGUUAUGAUUGAUUACAUUAAUGAAUUUCCACUAUUUUACUGGUUGCGCUUAGAAUAGAAGUUCAAGGAUUUUAAUAUUAGCCUAUAGCCCAUGUUAACUUGGAACAGAACCGAGCCUUUAGUAUCAACCAAACUACCAGGCAACAUGUGACUUUUUUUUUUUUUUUUUUACAUGGCAGAAUAUACUUCAUUGUAUUUCAUGGUCUGCAGACAUUUUUUGGAAUAGAACACUGAAAAUUUUUAUUUGUGUAUCAUGUAAAUAUUUAAAUUGUUUAAGCAUAUUUUGAUAUCAUACACUUCAUAAAUAUACACAAAGUUGUAAUUGUUAAAAAUGUUAGGUAAAAAAUAAACAUAAAUUGCAGUUAUGAUCUUUUCUUUUUGUCUACCCUUUGGGGGUUGUGCUCUCUAUUUGGACUUCUCAGCCAAGGUCACAAAAUCACGAUUAGAUCCACCUUUAUCCAACUAGGGAAAUAAAAACAAAACCAGUAUUAUUGUUCUAGAAGGAAUUAUUCUGAGUUUUUUGUCCAACUACUUGCUUUUUAGGCACAAUUAGGAGAUUGUUUUUAAGAUAAUAUUAAUAAUGUGUUUUUCAACGUUCUAAAUGUUAAAGAACUCACUCAAUCAUGUGUCAGAGAUAAUGACCCCAGAUAACUGGAAAAGCAUAUAAGUGAGGACAUGACUGUGAUUCAUUUCCCCUGUGUGGUCACUGUCUGACUCUGUGGAAUCAAGUUUUCACUUGAGAGCCAGGGGUGUCUGGGACCUGGGAAGAAUGCACCCCUGCCCAGGAUACCCAUUUUGUCAGUCACAUACCCAAAACCAAGGGUGUGCGAGUGACGACUAAGGCCAAGAUUGGAACCUACUCAUAGGAGAAGCUUCAUUUGGUCCUUCUCCAGCAGUGCCAAUAUAGUCACUUCUAAUCAGCAAUUUGAGGAAUGGAAGGGCAUAUUCAGUUUUUCUGUGCUGGUAAUUUGAAAACAGCUUGAUAACAGCUUGUUCAAAUGAGGAAUGGAUAGAACAUCAGUUUAAAUCAACUCUGAGAGACAGAGGCAAAACUUUUGUGUGCCCGGUAUUCCCAUUGGCUAACCCUGUGCCUAAACCUCCAUACCAAGGCUUCUGAGAGCUUUUGUC